AUCCAGCUGACGAGUCCCAAAUAGGAUGGAACCCGUGUCCUGGAU
Molecule: non-coding RNA, 45 nt
Filed under: Schistosoma curassoni
Lineage: Eukaryota; Metazoa; Platyhelminthes; Trematoda; Strigeidida; Schistosomatidae
Source: RNAcentral